Molecule: transfer RNA, 84 nt
Filed under: Anaerolineae bacterium
Lineage: Bacteria; Bacillati; Chloroflexota; Anaerolineae
Description: tRNA-Leu
Rfam family: tRNA
About the family: Transfer RNA (tRNA) molecules are approximately 80 nucleotides in length. Their secondary structure includes four short double-helical elements and three loops (D, anti-codon, and T loops).
Source: RNAcentral
GCCGAAGUGGCGGAACCGGCAGACGCCGCGGACUUAAAAUCCGCUGGGGGUAACCCCGUGGGGGUUCGAAUCCCCCCUUCGGCA